GUCAGAAUGGCCGAGUGGUCUAAGGCGCCAGACUCAAGUUCUGGUCUCCCGAUGGAGGCGUGGGUUCAAAUCCCACUUCUGACA
Molecule: transfer RNA, 84 nt
Filed under: Danio rerio (zebrafish)
Lineage: Eukaryota; Metazoa; Chordata; Actinopteri; Cypriniformes; Danionidae
Description: tRNA-Leu (CAA) (tRNA-Leu-CAA-14-1, tRNA-Leu-CAA-14-2)
Rfam family: tRNA
About the family: Transfer RNA (tRNA) molecules are approximately 80 nucleotides in length. Their secondary structure includes four short double-helical elements and three loops (D, anti-codon, and T loops).
Source: RNAcentral